UACAGAGGGUGCGAGCGUUAAUCGGAAUUACUGGGCGUAAAGCGUGCGUAGACGGCUAUCUAAGUCGGGUGUGAAAGCCCCGGGCUCAACCUGGGAAUUGCAUUCGAGACUGAAUAGCUAGGGUACGGUAGAGGGAAGUGGAAUUUCCGGUGUAGCGGUGAAAUGCGUAGAUAUCGAGAGGAACACCUGCGGCGAAGGCGGGUAGCUGGGCCGACACUGACGCUGAUGCGCGAAAGCCAGGGGAGCGAACGGG
This 253-nucleotide ribosomal RNA is filed under the name uncultured bacterium. RNAcentral's name for it is "partial 16S ribosomal RNA". It matches the Rfam family "Bacterial small subunit ribosomal RNA", at positions 524 to 776 of the family's 1533-position model. The record is from RNAcentral.